UAGGGAAUCUUCCGCAAUGGACGCAAGUCUGACGGAGCAACGCCGCGUGAGUGAAGAAGGAUUUCGGUUUGUAAAACUCUGUUGUCAGAGAAGAACAGCGCAUAGAGUAACUGUUAUGCGUGUGACGGUAUCUAACCAGAAAGCCACGGCUAACUACGUGCCAGCAGCCGCGGUAAUACGUAGGUGGCAAGCGUUGUCCGGAUUUAUUGGGCGUAAAGCGAGCGCAGGCGGUCAAUUAAGUCUGAUGUGAAAGCCCCCGGCUCAACCGGGGAGGGUCAUUGGAAACUGGUUGGCUAGAGUGCAGAAGAGGAGAGUGGAAUUCCAUGUGUAGCGGUGAAAUGCGCAGAGAUGUGGAGGAACACCGGUGGCGAAGGCGGCUUUCUGGUCUGUAACUGACGCGGAUGUGCGAAAGCGUGGGGAUCAAACAGG
Molecule: ribosomal RNA, 429 nt
Filed under: Bacteroidota bacterium
Lineage: Bacteria; Pseudomonadati; Bacteroidota
Description: Bacteroidetes bacterium partial 16S ribosomal RNA
Rfam family: Bacterial small subunit ribosomal RNA
Source: RNAcentral